This 449-nucleotide ribosomal RNA is filed under the name uncultured bacterium. RNAcentral's name for it is "partial 16S ribosomal RNA". It matches the Rfam family "Bacterial small subunit ribosomal RNA", at positions 29 to 523 of the family's 1533-position model. The record is from RNAcentral.
AGCGAACGCUGGCGGCAGGCUUAACACAUGCAAGUCGAACGGGCACUUCGGUGUCAGUGGCAGACGGGUGAGUAACACGUGGGAACGUACCUUUUGGUUCGGAACAACUGAGGGAAACUUCAGCUAAUACCGGAUAAGCCCUUACGGGGAAAGAUUUAUCGCCGAAAGAUCGGCCCGCGUCUGAUUAGCUAGUUGGUGGGGUAAUGGCCUACCAAGGCGACGAUCAGUAGCUGGUCUGGGAGGAUGAUCAGCCACAUUGGGACUGAGACACGGCCCAAACUCCUACGGGAGGCAGCAGUGGGGAAUAUUGGACAAUGGGGGCAACCCUGAUCCAGCCAUGCCGCGUGAGUGAUGAAGGCCCUAGGGUUGUAAAGCUCUUUUGUGCGGGAAGAUAAUGACGGUACCGCAAGAAUAAGCCCCGGCUAACUUCGUGCCAGCCGCCGCAGUAA